UCUACGGAAUAACCCAGGGAAACUUGGAUUAAUACCGUAUACGUCCGAGAGGAGAAAGAUUUAUCGGAGUUGGAUGAGCCCGCGUUGGAUUAGCUAGUUGGUGGGGUAAUGGCCUACCAAGGCGACGAUCCAUAGCUGGUCUGAGAGGAUGAUCAGCCACACUGGGACUGAGACACGGCCCAGACUCCUACGGGAGGCAGCAGUGGGGAAUAUUGGACAAUGGGCGAAAGCCUGAUCCAGCCAUGCCGCGUGAGUGAUGAAGGCCCUAGGGUUGUAAAGCUCUUUCACCGGUGAAGAUAAUGACGGUAACCGGAGAAGAAGCCCCGGCUAACUUCGUGCCAGCAGCCGCGGUAAUACGAAGGGGGCUAGCGUUGUUCGGAAUUACUGGGCGUAAAGCGCACGUAGGCGGAUAUUUAAGUCAGGGGUGAAAUCCCAGAGCUCAACCCUGGAACUGCCUUUGAUACUGGGUAUCUCGAGUCCG
RNAcentral lists this ribosomal RNA (481 nucleotides) under uncultured Mesorhizobium sp. RNAcentral's name for it is "bacterial SSU rRNA". It matches the Rfam family "Bacterial small subunit ribosomal RNA", at positions 135 to 650 of the family's 1533-position model. The record is from RNAcentral. Lineage: Bacteria; Pseudomonadati; Pseudomonadota; Alphaproteobacteria; Hyphomicrobiales; Phyllobacteriaceae.